Molecule: long non-coding RNA, 492 nt
Filed under: Mytilus galloprovincialis (Mediterranean mussel)
Lineage: Eukaryota; Metazoa; Mollusca; Bivalvia; Mytilida; Mytilidae
Source: RNAcentral
UCUUACUUCUCAUUGUUCAGAGAAAUGACUUUUUAUGUAGCCCUAUGUUAUAGUUCAAUUGUAAGAGAUAUUUAUCUUGGUAACAUGAAGCUUUACAACAGCCAUGGUUAAAGCAUGUUAACUUAACUAUGUGCAUUAAUACACUUUGGUUCACAUUUCAUGUAUGUUCAUGAUGAGAUGUGACACAAUACCCAAGGAAGACAAGGAGGGUCCAUAAAGGUUUUGAUCCACACUUGAUGCUACUGUAAGUGGUAUGCAGAGACGGGAAGAUAAAGUUACAUAUAUAGGGUUUGAAAUUAACCCCUUACGGAUCCAUAGCGAGUGAGACCUCUUUCAACUAGUGAAUCCAUAUAGCAAACUGCAUACAGGCCUGAGGGAUUUUGCUGCCAAGUUUUGGAUUAACAUUAAACAAUGAUGAAUAUAAUACAAGUGUAGAGCAAUAAUUGUAACCCUAACCUUAAACUGUGUGACCCUCUAGUCGACCUGAAGUGC